AUUGAACGCUGGCGGCAGGCCUAACACAUGCAAGUCGAGCGGAUGUAGGGAGCUUGCUCCUGGAUUCAGCGGCGGACGGGUGAGUAAUGCCUAGGAAUCUGCCUGGUAGUGGGGGAUAACGUCCGGAAACGGGCGCUAAUACCGCAUACGUCCUGAGGGAGAAAGUGGGGGAUCUUCGGACCUCACGCUAUCAGAUGAGCCUAGGUCGGAUUAGCUAGUUGGUGGGGUAAAGGCCUACCAAGGCGACGAUCCGUAACUGGUCUGAGAGGAUGAUCAGUCACACUGGAACUGAGACACGGUCCAGACUCCUACGGGAGGCAGCAGUGAGGAAUAUUGGACAAUGGGCGAAAGCCUGAUCCAGCCAUGCCGCGUGUGUGAAGAAGGUCUUCGGAUUGUAAAGCACUUUAAGUUGGGAGGAAGGGCAGUAAGUUAAUACCUUGCUGUUUUGACGUUACCAACAGAAUAAGCACCGGCUAACUUCGUG
RNAcentral lists this ribosomal RNA (484 nucleotides) under uncultured bacterium. Its description in RNAcentral is "partial 16S ribosomal RNA". It matches the Rfam family "Bacterial small subunit ribosomal RNA", at positions 30 to 507 of the family's 1533-position model. The record is from RNAcentral.